RNA transcript from Populus trichocarpa (black cottonwood), 1565 nucleotides. It is a transcript of the gene named lipid droplet phospholipase 1, with no coding region annotated. The transcript has 11 exons. The record is from RefSeq and is a predicted model, not a curated record. Lineage: Eukaryota; Viridiplantae; Streptophyta; Magnoliopsida; Malpighiales; Salicaceae.
AACCGAAUGGUUAAAAAUAAAAACCUUACUUUAAUUUUCUCUAUAACUACCCUUUUCAGUUUCCUCUGUCCGGGGACUCUCUCACCGCCAUUUUUUUCGAGAGAAUCAACACAAUAACCAAAAACAAAUUCUCUGAAGUCAUUAUUUAAAUGCAUUUUUGGGUGAAGAACCGUAAAGAAAGCGAGAGAGAUAAAAAUCAAGAAUUGGAUCAAUAAAUCAUGGAGAACAGAGUUUGUUCAACAGAAUCAGUAAAUGGAAGCUGUGAUGUCUGGAGUUGUCAAAAAUCCGCUGCUGCUUCUGCUGAUCAUCUUGUCAUUAUGGUCCACGGUAUCCUUGGAAGUAACGCAGAUUGGAAGUUUGGAGCAGAGCAGUUUGUUAGAACUUUACCUGAUAAAGUAUUUGUUCAUUGUAGUGAAAAAAAUAUGUUUAGGCUGACACUUGAUGGUGUUGAUGUGAUGGGUGAGCGGUUGGCUGAGGAGGUACUUGAGGUAAUUCAAAGAAAGCAGAAUUUGCGGAAGAUUUCAUUUGUUGCACAUUCUGUGGGAGGAUUAGUGGCCAGAUAUGCAAUUGGAAGAUUGUAUAGACCACCCAAGAAAGAAAAUGUAGCAGAUUCAACUGAUGGUACAAAUGAAGACGACAUAAAGGCUACAAUAGGUGGCUUGGAGCCUAUGAACUUUAUCACGGUUGCUACACCUCACCUUGGUUCAAGAGGAAAUAAGCAGGUUCCAUUUCUUUUUGGUGUAACUGCCUUUGAGAAAGCAGCUCGCCUCUUGAUUCAUUGGAUAUUUAAGAGAACAGGUCGACACCUUUUUCUUACCGAUGAUGAUGAGGGCAAUGCUCCAUUGCUUAAACGCAUGAUAGAAGAUUAUGGUGAUUGUUUUUUCAUGUCGGCAUUGUGUAUAUUCAAACGCCGGGUGGCAUAUUCAAAUGUGGGCUAUGACCAUAUUGUGGGCUGGAGAACGUCGUCCAUCAGGCGUAAUUAUGAAUUGCCAAAGUGGGAAGAUAAUAUGAACAAGGAAUAUCCGCAUAUUGUAUACGAAGAACGCUGUAAGGCCCGUGAUGCCGAGCAGUCUGAACUUAUUUCGACAGAAGAUGAUGGUUCGGACAAGCUAGAAGAGGAACUAGUGGCUGGUUUAUCCCGUGUGUCAUGGGAAAAAGUGGACGUUAGCUUCCAUGCCAGCCGACAGAGGUUUGCUGCUCAUAGUGUAAUUCAGGUCUCUCUCAUUCUCCCCUCAUGCAUGCAUCCAUUCGUCCUCACUGCAGUGUUAUGUUUUUUGGUUAUAUGGUUAAAGAUGAAAUGAUGCAUAUGGAAGGUGCAGAUGUGAUACGACAUAUGAUUGAUCAUUUUCUUCUGUAAAAACCAAUGACUCCUAGACAUAACAACAUUACAGCUGUCCUACAUGGUUGAAGGUUGUCAACUAUCGUGGUGAUGGUGAAUUCAGCUAAAACUACGAAGACUAAACGACCAAUUUAAUAGAAAUUUUGGUUUAUUCAUUUUUGUAUCGUGCAAACAUUUCUAUGAUCAUCAAUAAAUGAAAAACAAAAUGCUACAUAUUUAGCUCUUA